This 506-nucleotide ribosomal RNA is filed under the name uncultured Anaerolineae bacterium. RNAcentral's name for it is "bacterial SSU rRNA". It matches the Rfam family "Bacterial small subunit ribosomal RNA", at positions 337 to 856 of the family's 1533-position model. The record is from RNAcentral. Lineage: Bacteria; Bacillati; Chloroflexota; Anaerolineae.
UCCUACGGGGAGGCAGCAGCAAGGGAUAUUGCACAAUGGACGGAAGUCUGAUGCAGCGACGCCGCGUGGGCGAAGAAGGUUUUCGGAUCGUAAAGCCCUUUUCUGUGUGACGAGAAAGGACGGUAGCACAGGAAUAAGUGUCGGCUAACUACGUGCCAGCAGCCGCGGUAAUACGUAGGACGCAAACGUUAUCCGGAGUUACUGGGCGUAAAGCGCGCGCAGGCGGUUGGGUAAGUUACCUGUGAAAGUUCCCGGCUAAACCGGGAGAAGCCAGGUGAUACUGCCUAACUAGAGAGAGACAGAGGGAAGUAGAAUUCCGGGUGUAGUGGUGAAAUGCGUAGAUAUCCGGAGGAAUACCAGUGGCGAAGGCGGCUUCCUGGGUCUCAACUGACGCUGAGGCGCGAAAGCGUGGGUAGCGAACGGGAUUAGAAACCCCGGUAGUCCACGCCGUAAACGAUGUACAUUAGACGUUCGCAUGCGUUUAGUAUGUGAGUGUCGAAGCUAAC